Molecule: ribosomal RNA, 654 nt
Filed under: Triticum aestivum (bread wheat)
Lineage: Eukaryota; Viridiplantae; Streptophyta; Magnoliopsida; Poales; Poaceae
Description: partial small subunit ribosomal RNA
Source: RNAcentral
AUGAUAAUUAUGGAUGGGCUCCCAUUUGCAUUUUCGGAGAAAUCAGGAUUUAGAGAGUUUUUCAAUGAAUCUUGUGAUAGGGUUGGCUUAACAACCGACACCUGGACAUCUAUGCAACAGCAGAGCUAUAUGUGUGUUGCGGCUCAUUUCCUUGACACCGAUUGGUGGCUACAUAAGAGGAUUAUUGGGUUCUUGGUGUGUGGUCAUAAGGGGGAAGACAUUGGGAAGGACAUCGAGACGUGUUUGGUGGAUUGGGGUUUAGAGAAAGCGUUCACAAUAACUGUUGACAAUGCAUCAGCAGACGAUGAUGCUGUAAGUUACAUGAGGAGGGCCAUGAAUGAUGCUAAAACUAGCACAGCAAAAGGACAAUAUGUUCACAUGAGAUGUGAAACCCAUGUCAAAAACAUGAUAGUUUUGGAUUGCCCAAGAGAAUUGGAUAUCCCAGUGCAACGAGGCCUUGUUGCUGUCCGUUUUAUCAGAAAUUUUCUAUCUAGAACUACUCAAUUUAAGAAGUGUGCUGACUUGGAGAAGGUGGACAGCAAAGCAUCCUUAUCACUUGUUGUAUGCAUCAGAUGGAACUCCACAUACCUAAUGUUGAAAGCUGCAGCCACAUAUCAAAAGGUGUUUGAUAGGUAUGGUGAUGACGACCCUUAG